Molecule: ribosomal RNA, 553 nt
Filed under: uncultured archaeon
Lineage: Archaea
Description: bacterial SSU rRNA
Rfam family: Bacterial small subunit ribosomal RNA
Source: RNAcentral
CAGCCGCCGCGGUAAUACGUAAGUGGCAAGCGUUAUCCGGAAUCACUGGGUGUAAAGGGUGUGUAGGCGGUAAUUUAAGUUUUGCGUUUAAUUUCAGGGCUCAACCCUGAAUGUGCGUGAAAUACUGAAUUGCUUGAGUGAUGAAGAGGAAGUUGGAACUCCAGGUGAAGCGGUGAAAUGUGUAGAUAUCUGGGGGAACACCAAUGGCGAAGGCAGGCUUCUGGUCAUCAACUGACGCUGAGACACGAAAGCGUGGGGAGCAAACAGGAUUAGAUACCCUGGUAGUCCACGCAGUAAACGAUGUUCACUAGGUGUGAGAGGUAUCGACCCCUUUCGUGCCGCAGUUAACGCAUUAAGUGAACCACCUGGGGAAUACGACCGCAAGGUUAAAACUCAAAGAAAUUGACGGGGGCCCGCACAAGCGGUGGAGUAUGUGGUUUAAUUCGAUGCAACCCGAAGAACCUUACCAGAACUUGACAUGUCGAUGCAAGGCUAUAGAAGUAUAGUCCCCUGUACAGCAAUGUAUAGCGUUGAGCACAGGAGGUGCAUGGCC